This 254-nucleotide ribosomal RNA is filed under the name uncultured bacterium. RNAcentral describes it as "partial 16S ribosomal RNA". It matches the Rfam family "Bacterial small subunit ribosomal RNA", at positions 524 to 776 of the family's 1533-position model. The record is from RNAcentral.
UACGAAGGGGGCUAGCGUUGUUCGGAAUCACUGGGCGUAAAGCGCACGUAGGCGGAUCUUUAAGUCAGAGGUGAAAUCCCAAGGCUCAACCUUGGAACUGCCUUUUGAUACUGGGGAUCUUGAGUCCGGGAGAGGUGAGUGGAACUGCGAGUGUAGAGGUGAAAUUCGUAGAUAUUCGCAAGAACACCAGUGGCGAAGGCGGCUCACUGGCCCGGUACUGACGCUGAGGUGCGAAAGCGUGGGGAGCAAACAGG